AACGAACGCUGGCGGCAGGCUUAACACAUGCAAGUCGAACGCCCCGCAAGGGGAGUGGCAGACGGGUGAGUAACGCGUGGGAACGUGCCCUUCGCUUCGGAAUAGCCCCGGGAAACUGGGAGUAAUACCGAAUACGCCGUAUUGGGAAAGAUUUAUCGGCGAAGGAUCGGCCCGCGUUAGAUUAGCUAGUUGGCGGUGUAAUGGACCACCAAGUCUACGAUCUAUAGCUGGUCUGAGAGGAUGAUCAGCCACACUGGGACUGAGACACGGCCCCGACACCUACGGGAGGAAGCAGUGGGGAAUCUUGGACAAGGGGCGCAAGCCUGACCCAGCCAUGCCGCGUGAGUGAAGAAGGCCUUAGGGUUGUAAAACUCUUUCGCCGGAGAAGAUAAUGACGGUAUCCGGAGAAGAAGCCCCGGCUAACUUCGUGCCAGCCGCCGCCGUAA
This 446-nucleotide ribosomal RNA is filed under the name uncultured bacterium. RNAcentral describes it as "partial 16S ribosomal RNA". It matches the Rfam family "Bacterial small subunit ribosomal RNA", at positions 29 to 523 of the family's 1533-position model. The record is from RNAcentral.